This 497-nucleotide ribosomal RNA is filed under the name uncultured bacterium. RNAcentral's name for it is "partial 16S ribosomal RNA". It matches the Rfam family "Bacterial small subunit ribosomal RNA", at positions 899 to 1397 of the family's 1533-position model. The record is from RNAcentral.
ACUCAAAGGAAUUGACGGGGGCCCGCACAAGCGGUGGAGCAUGUGGUUUAAUUCGAUGCAACGCGAAGAACCUUACCUGGGUUUGACAUCCCUUGAUCGCUGCAGAAAUGCAGUUUCCCCUUCGGGGGCAAGGAGACAGGUGCUGCAUGGCUGUCGUCAGCUCGUAUCGUGAGAUGUCGGGUUAAGUCCCUUAACGAGCGCAACCCUUAUCCUCAGUUGCCAUCAUUCAGUUGGGCACUCUGUGGAGACUGCCGGUGUUAAACCGGAGGAAGGUGGGGAUGACGUCAAGUCCUCAUGGCCUUUAUAUCCAGGGCUACACACGUGCUACAAUGGCCGGUACAAAGCGAAGCCAACUCGCGAGAGGGAGCUAAUCGCAGAAAGCCGGUCUCAGUUCGGAUUGAAGUCUGCAACUCGACUUCAUGAAGCUGGAAUCGCUAGUAAUCGCGGAUCAGAACGCCGCGGUGAAUACGUUCCCGGGCCUUGCACACACCGCCCGU